CAACUUCUUCCAGAGAGGAUCCAGAAAUUAUUGCCUCUGUCAGAGGUUUAAUUUACCUGUAACAUUUGUUAGUGGCACACAUGGAAUAUGUCUCUGGUAUUGUAUCAUACACAAUACAGUUUCAAACGAGAAGAAGCAGAGAGUCUGUGCCAAAACCAGUGGUGUAUCCUGCAGGGUCCUUCAUUAAGCUCCAGAGCAGUUCCAUCCAUGAAAUGAAGGAGAUGAGGAUGUGUGCAGCCCAAUAUUCAUAUUAGUCAUGAAGAAAGUGGGAGUAUGAGAAGGAUUCCAGGCACUGUGACUGGAACAUCUGAUGUGGGCUGGAGCAUAACAGGAUCCCAAACCCUGUCAUGUUAAUUACUGGACAUCAGUUUAGCAGUGACUCUACAUCUGAGAGACAGUGAGAAUAAUUUUAGCUUAAAGUGAAGGAAGUUUUGUCCCUCCAUCCUGGGGAAAUUGCUAUUGACAAAUAGCAAAAAAGGUCUUGUUUGAUAAUAAAAUAUAGUAUUUUAGGAAUACCUAAAUGACAUUUAAUAGCUUAAAAGCAAUUGGGAGACCAUUGUUCUUUGCUAUUUUUGCUAUUUUAUUGAUUUUUUUUAACAAUCAAUAUUUAUACAUGAAUGAGGAGCUAAACAAAGAUUCUACCAGGCAGAAUUUUUCUCACACAGAUUUCUUUUAAAUGUUUAGUUUAAAAAGGUCUGAAACUACUGAUAUGUGAUUUUCAAACAAAUUCUGUCUUAGUAUCUUUGUUUUUCUUUAAAUAUGAUGCAAAACUACUGAGUAUAUUUGCAAUCCAUGUGAAGUGAAAACAAAUGUUAGAUAACAUUUGUUAUCACUUUAUUUGUUAACUCCCCUCAGAAUCCAUCAUGCAUUGAAUGGGUUUUUAUGAACCAUAUGGGCAUUAGUCAAUUAUUUUUAAGUUACUCAUCAAAGUUUCCUAAUUUCUUUAUUUUAGAGACCUAUUUCUAGUUUUCUGAACUGAUGGAUUUAUAUCUUCUGUCUAAAUGUAGAGUUAUACUUUAUUAUUCAAUAACCAUGACUUUUCUGAGAAAAUUGCCAUGUGGAAGAGUACUGUAGUUCUGCAGUUCUGCAAUAUGAAAGUGAUGAGGCAUCAGUUGUUUUAGUCUGUUUAUAACCAGUUUCCAUUGUAGUACUUCACCAUUCUCACCUGUUUCCUGCUUAAAAUAUUCAUUGAAACAGACACAUCAGGGCAUGAACCUCAGGUUGAACAGAAGUGUGAAAAUUGAACCAAAAGCUUCAUGUUGAUGUUUUAGAAAAGAGCAAAUCCUUCCAGGAGACUUAAUCAAUACUAAGAAUGACAGGGAAAUCAUAACAGAUGAGAGUAAUUGAUUGACGGAUACGGCAGGAUAAAAGAAUAUUUCUCUUUCUGUAUGAACUGCAGGUAUGGAAUACACUCAGCUGCAGCAAAUAAUAACAUUGAUUUACAUUUGUUUGGAUGAGCUAAUGGAAAUUCCCAUUGAGGGACUGACACUACCAUCUUCUCUUUGACAAUACAGCUUUAUGUGUUUUGAGAAGGCCUGGAAAAAGGCCAAUAAAAUGAUUGCACAUUCAGAGCCAGAGAUAAAUUGUAAAAUCUUUGUAGUUAUGUAGUUAAAUGAGAAAGUUUCCUUUGUUAGACUAAUUGAUGAAAAACUCAUCAUGUGUGUUUUAAUCUCUAAAUAUUAACAAAUAAAACUGACAAACUCCUCUUUUCCUGCAGUAUUCACAGCAAAUCAAUCUCUAUAGGAAUUGGGAAAAACACUUGCCAGUCAGAUUCUCUGACACAAGGGAAAUAAGAUAUCAAAUAAAAGGUUAUGUAAGCAAUAAAAGCCCACAAAAAACCCAAAAACCAAACCCAAACCAAAACAAAUAAAAAACAAACAAACAAACCCAAAAUGCCAAUGUUUUGAAGAUGAUUAUGGAUAAAAAUUUGAGCAAAAAUUAUUCAUAGAUUGGUACACCUAGUUUAGAACACAUCAUUUUUUCAUGAAAGUGCUGUAGUUCACUUAACAAUACGUAGAAAAGUUGAACACAAAGACUGGCAAGUCAAUGUGACAAGAAAGCUGAAGAAUGAAGCUAAUAUAUUACAUAUUAUCAGCUAUAAGAUCCUUUCAGCUUUUUAAUUUGUGUGUGAACAAAUGCCUUGAUGCAGCCUAGUUAGAAAAAACUAAAUUAGAAAGAACAGAAAAUACUUAAUUCUUUAUGAACAUUCUGACCCAAUGGAUUAAGCCAAAUCACAAUUUUCUGCUUUAAUCAAGGAGCCCUUUUGGGGACCUGACCAAAGCAAAUCUAGUGGAACAAUAAAAAGAAGAGAAAGCUACACAAAGUAAAGUUAAAAGAAAAAAUAAAAUCUAUAUACAAAAUAAAUGAUUUUUGCCUUUGCUAAAACAAUAUUUUAAUCCUAAUAUAGGUUUACUGACAAAAGCUUGACUAAUUCAUUGGACUCAGAGUACAAGUGUUUGUUUCAUUUUAGUCAUGAUGGAAGUGCUUGGAAGCUGUUACGUGCAUUUGCACAAAAUUUUCUUAAAUUAGUCUUAGAGGAUAGAUUGCUCUGCACUUCAAAAAAGAUUAUACUGUUAUAAAUUCACACACACACACUCAACUGUCCCUAUUACACUGUCACAAUUUUACAAUGAUUAAGAGGUUGGAGAGCUCAUCUGCAUACAUUUCUGAUUUGUUUUUUACAACCAAAUAUUCCUCUGUUGUAUUGUCCUACACUGCAGUACACCAAAACAGCAUGGAAAUAACUAACAACAAGAAAGCAUUGACAUUUGGACCAACCUAUAUUUUUUAGAAUGUUUAUCUCAGUGUUUACCAGAUCUGAGU
Passer domesticus (house sparrow) is the source of this 2823-nucleotide long non-coding RNA. RefSeq lists it as uncharacterized. The transcript has 3 exons. The record is from RefSeq and is a predicted model, not a curated record. Lineage: Eukaryota; Metazoa; Chordata; Aves; Passeriformes; Passeridae.